AUAAGUGAUAUAUAAUCAUGUAAUAUGUAUUGUUAAUAGUGGAAGAUGUUAAAAAUAUCCAAGUUUACGAUUCAAAUAUUUGUGUUUCUUUCAGAAAGCAAAUGUAUCUGAGUAGGAGGAAUUUAGCUAUAUUUCACAUCAUGGAGGCAAAAUCUGCAAAAUUUAAAAAUGGAGAGCAAUAGUAUAGAAAGGAAUUGCUUUACAGGUGUUGCUUUAAAUUACAUUUUUGUAGAUGAUGAAGCAUGCAGGAGACUUCUGUUGCAUUCCUUCGAGCAUAGUUGUUUUCUCAUCACAUCUGUCUGACAUGUUAUAGUGUUACUGUAAGUUUGCCUCCCUGCUCUGUGGUUCAUGGAAGGAAUUUUGUUGCAUGUUUCCACCCCA
RNAcentral lists this long non-coding RNA (381 nucleotides) under Junco hyemalis (dark-eyed junco). Its description in RNAcentral is "lncRNA (ENSJHYG00000015861.1)". The record is from RNAcentral. Lineage: Eukaryota; Metazoa; Chordata; Aves; Passeriformes; Passerellidae.